Molecule: ribosomal RNA, 497 nt
Filed under: uncultured bacterium
Lineage: Bacteria
Description: partial 16S ribosomal RNA
Rfam family: Bacterial small subunit ribosomal RNA
Source: RNAcentral
GAUGAACGCUGGCGGCGUGCCUAAUACAUGCAAGUCGAGCGAACAGAUAAGGAGCUUGCUCCUUUGACGUUAGCGGCGGACGGGUGAGUAACACGUGGGUAACCUACCUAUAAGACUGGGAUAACUUCGGGAAACCGGAGCCAAUACCGGAUAAUAUUUCGAACCGCAUGGUUCGAUAGUGGAAGAUGGUUUUGCUAUCACUUAUAGAUGGACCCGCGCCGUAUUAGCUAGUUGGUAAGGUAACGGCUUACCAAGGCGACGAUACGUAGCCGACCUGAGAGGGUGAUCGGCCACACUGGAACUGAGACACGGUCCAGACUCCUACGGGAGGCAGCAGUAGGGAAUCUUCCGCAAAGGGCGAAAGCCUGACGGAGCAACGCCGCGUGAGUGAUGAAGGUCUUCGGAUCGUAAAACUCUGUUAUUAGGGAAGAACAUACGUGUAAGUAACUGUGCACGUCUUGACGGUACCUAAUCAGAAAGCCACGGCUAACUACGUG